Molecule: ribosomal RNA, 224 nt
Filed under: Bathydoris aioca
Lineage: Eukaryota; Metazoa; Mollusca; Gastropoda; Nudibranchia; Bathydoridae
Description: partial 16S ribosomal RNA
Source: RNAcentral
GCUUACAGUAAAAUAAAAUAUUAUUUAUAAGGGUUUAGUUGGGGUGACAAAGGAGUAGAGUAAAAUCUCCUUUAUUAUUAACAAGUCGAUUUUUAUAGGAAAGAAUAAACUACCUUAGGGAUAACAGCAUAAUUUUAUUAUUAAGUUUGUGACCUCGAUGUUGGACUAGGAAACUAAUGAGUUAGCCGCUUAUUAUGUAAGGUUCUGUUCGAACUUAAUUUCCU